Molecule: ribosomal RNA, 317 nt
Filed under: uncultured eukaryote
Lineage: Eukaryota
Description: partial 18S ribosomal RNA
Rfam family: Eukaryotic small subunit ribosomal RNA
Source: RNAcentral
CCCUUAGAUGUUCUGGGCCGCACACGCGCUACACUGAUUCAUGCAACAAGUUCUGUCCUUGGCUGAUAGGCCUGGGUAAUCUCUGAACGUGAAUCGUGAUGGGGAUAGAUGAUUGCAAUUAUUCAUCUUCAACGAGGAAUUCCUAGUAAACGCAAGUCAUCAGCUUGCAUUGAUUACGUCCCUGCCCUUUGUACACACCGCCCGUCGCACCUACCGAUUGAGUGAUCCGGUGAAUAAUUCGGACUGCGCUUAUGGGCAACCAUUUGUGCGGGAAGUUUAGUGAACCUUAUCACUUAGAGGAAGGAGAANUCGUANCA